CCUACGGGUGGCAGCAGUGGGGAAUAUUGCACAAUGGGCGCAAGCCUGAUGCAGCCAUGCCGCGUGUGUGAAGAAGGCCUUCGGGUUGUAAAGCACUUUCAGCGGGGAGGAAGGCGUUAAGGUUAAUAACCUUGUCGAUUGACGUUACCCGCAGAAGAAGCACCGGCUAACUCCGUGCCAGCAGCCGCGGUAAUACGGAGGGUGCAAGCGUUAACCGGAAUUACUGGGCGUAAAGCGCACGCAGGCGGUCUGUCAAGUCGGAUGUGAAAUCCCCGGGCUCAACCUGGGAACUGCAUUCGAAACUGGCAGGCUAGAGUCUUGUAGAGGGGGGUAGAAUUCCAGGUGUAGCGGUGAAAUGCGUAGAGAUCUGGAGGAAUACCGGUGGCGAAGGCGGCCCCCUGGACAAAGACUGACGCUCAGGUGCGAAAGCGUGGGGAGCAAACAGGAUAGAUACCCGUGUAGUC
RNAcentral lists this ribosomal RNA (464 nucleotides) under uncultured Klebsiella sp. RNAcentral's name for it is "bacterial SSU rRNA". It matches the Rfam family "Bacterial small subunit ribosomal RNA", at positions 338 to 795 of the family's 1533-position model. Lineage: Bacteria; Pseudomonadati; Pseudomonadota; Gammaproteobacteria; Enterobacterales; Enterobacteriaceae. The record is from RNAcentral.